CCAAGGAGUCUAACAUGUGCGCGAGUCGUCGGGUCUUGAAUAGGCCCGCAGGCGAAAUGAAAGUGAAGGGCGACCCAGUCGUCGUCUGCGUUGGGAUCCCCAGACCGUCGCGUCUGGGGCGCACCAACGGCCCGUCCCGUCCGCGUCGUCGGUGGGACGGAGCGAGAGCGUACACGUUGGGACCCGAAAGAUGGUGAACUAUGCCUGGGCAGGACGAGGCCAGAGGAAACUCUGGUGGAGGUCCGCAGCGAUUCUGACGUGCAAAUCGAUCGUCAGACCUGGGUAUAGGGGCGAAAGACUAAUCGAACCGUCUAGUAGCUGGUUCCCUCCGAAGUUUCCCUCAGGAUAGCUGGCGCUCGAGGGAGUCAGUCUCAUCCGGUAAAGCGAAUGAUUAGAGGCCUUGGGGCCGAAACGACCUCAACCUAUUCUCAAACUUUCAAUGGGUGAGAAGUCCGGUUUACAUGACUGAAGCCCGGACAAUUCUCAGGAUGCGAGUGCCCAGUGGGCCACUUUU
Molecule: ribosomal RNA, 514 nt
Filed under: Syntropis macrura
Lineage: Eukaryota; Metazoa; Arthropoda; Arachnida; Scorpiones; Vaejovidae
Also listed under: 2 other names
Description: eukaryotic LSU rRNA
Rfam family: Eukaryotic large subunit ribosomal RNA
Source: RNAcentral